CGCAAUCUCUUCGUCAUCGGAGCGGAUCCAAAACAGUGGGAAGUAGUGCCGCGUUCAAAACAACUGGGAACUCGGAAAAAAAUACGAUGUUAAAUCAUGACGUCAUUGAUCUUCAGGUCGGAAAGUCGGAGUUGUAUAGGCCCGAGUUCCAUAGUUGGAAUUUGGUUUGAUGACCGUUCAAAUCGUUUUUUUCCAGUCGAGCUCGUUUUUUUCAGAGUUCCCAGUUGUUUGAAACUCACUGAAAUCGGAAGUCGAAGAUUUCCGAGUUCCGAGCUCCCAAUUCUUUUGAACGCGGCAUAGGCUAUUGUUUAUUAUCACCUUCCGGAUUCUUAGAAACUUCCCCUGUUACAGACCCGCCACCGACUUAUCUGUUCAAUGGAGGAACCAUUAUUUUUUGCUUGCGGGGAUUUGGUCGACUGGUCUGUCCAAACUGCUUGGGAACAGAAUGACGCCGAGGUGGACAGUGCGUUUGGAGACUGGAGUUCUGCCUGUAAUGGCAACAAGUCGGAUGCAGUUGAAAGAUCUUCAUCUCUGUCUUCACCCAUGAACAUGGACAUCUCUAAACUCUCAACAAAGUGACUGUGGCAGCUUGUGGAGCCAUCUGGUGGCUGAGCCCAGCAGGCUGAGGCUGUCAGAGCCAAAGCCCAGCUUACACUGCCACAGCCACAGCAGAAUGGUUUCUGCCCUCAGAAUCACACCUUCAAAUUGCAUCUCUGACCAGUGUGAGUCAGACUUUUUGGAAGAUCAUGAAGGAACUACAGAGACCUCUUGCCCCCCUGCUGCUGCUGCUCUCAUCAAAACCAAGCUGCUGGCCCCCUCCUCCUGCCAUGGUGACACCCCAGCUUUCCUCUACCAAAUCUCCCAGCAGUGGCUGACUCAAUGCAGCAUCCAGCUGCAGCCUCAGCACCACAAGAAGUCUCCUGCACUGAACUAUGGAGAAGGAUAAGAUGAAGAUGCUGCUUAGCAUAGCCCUACUGUACUGUUGUAGAUGGGUGAAACGGGUUGGGUUGUUACCCGGGUGAGAACAAAGUAUACACUUUUCGCAACAUUUUAUUUAUACAGAUUGUAAAGAAAAUACAUUCUAUGAUAUUGUGUAUUUAGUUUGCAGGCAUGUUCCUGGUUUUAUAUAUAAUAUUUUGAUACGGAGUGUAGUUACAGUGAUACUAUAAAAUGUUCUAUACAUUUAUUGAGUUAUUUAUUCAGUGUAACACCUGUUUUAUACCACUAUUGUCAAGAGCAGAGGGAACAAUGCAAUUCUUUGGAAGACUUUGGAAGUCACAGUCACAGCACUCCACUAGAGGGCAUACUGGCUUCCUCAUAAGUCCCAAACCCCAUUUUGCAAACAUACAGUGCAUUCAGAAAGUAUUCAGACCCCUUGCCUUUUCCACAUCUUGUUACGUUACAGCCUUAUUCUAGAAUUGAUUACAAUUUUUUUUUCUCAUCAAUCUACACACACUACCCCAUAAUGACAAAGCAAAAACAGGUUUUUAGAAUUGUUGCCAAAGGUAUUAAAAACAGAAAUACCUUAUUUACAUAAGUAUUCAAAUCAAAAAAUCUAAUCAAAGUUAAUUUGUCACAUGCGCCGAAUACAACAUGUGUAGACCUUCAGACCAUGCACCUCAAAACAAGCUUUGUCCAUAUAUUUUGUUUUGUAGAAUACCCAUCUCUAAGUCUCACUGUAGAAACCUGGCUUGCAAUCUAGGGCAGUGCAUGGUCCAAAAAAAAGUAAUUGGGUGUGGCUUCCCACUGUGGAUACAUUUUUAUGGAAAUUUGGAUUGCUUGUGCUUUAACUAUUUAUGGCAUUAUUGAUUAUUGGUGUCCUCCACUUCUUAAUAUUUCCAUAGUUUGGUCCUCUGUUUUUCUUUACCUGCCUUAAUACUCAAAACCAUAGACAUGUUUCAUGUCAUUGGCCAUUUUGUAAGUAAGACUGCAGGGUAUCAUUGUGCUAAUCAGCACAAACCAGUAUAACAGAGAGGUUAUUACAUGUGUACAACUGCAUCUCAGACAGUUCUCUUCCAUUUCAACCACCAGGAUUUGCUUUUCCAGACAGAGAAAACAAGGGGUUAGUGGAGGUGCACACUCCUCCCACAUGUCACUUGUUUGGCUGGCGGGUUGAGUCUAUGAAUAGAAUUGAAAUACAGAGAGAAAAACCAUCACCUUUUUCCAAGUAGGCCCCUCCUACAUGACAAGUGAUGUAGCCCUGCACUUCCCUCCCCCUCUCUCUCUCUACUAUCUCCUCUCAGCUAGUGCACUAGCGGGAUGUCAGAGUGAAUUUAGAUUACAUCUCGUUGCAGUGCAGUGGCGGAAAAAAGGCAAAGGGACAUGGAGGAAGGAAGGAUGAUCCUGGGUUGUAUUGUGCCUUAUAUGUCACUCGCACACACAGAGGAAGGCAUGGGUGCAUUGGACCAUCUUUGUUUUGGGUGGGCUGGUCAAAAUAAAUUAAUAAUACAAAUAAUUGACUUUUUUAAGGGAGAUGGCCCUUGGGCCUGUUAAGAUUAUGAUUUUUGUGCAAUUUCUCUAUUGUCAUAUUAAUAUAUUUGAGCAUUUGCCUGAUCAGUGGACAACGGCCAGUCCCCCCUACCAAGAUAGGCCUGCCCGGUUUUCUGUUUGGCUGAGGUGGUGCAAAAUUCACGUUCAAUGUCAAACGCACAUCAGCAAAGAGACCUGCUCUGACUCUCUUGUCAUCAGUCAGCCCAGAUCAUGGCUUGUAAAAAACAGAAAGGUAGUGCUAAAAAAAGUUAAGAGACCAAAAAAAGGCUUGAGACCACAGCUGCUUAAUGUAUGAAAUAAAUCAACUAAUUUUCUAAAAGUUCUGGUUCGGCUGGUCCAAGUGUUGUGACAGAUGCUGCUACAGAAGACAGUGCAGUCGAGGUAUGGAGAAAGCCUAGCUACUGUGUUACUCUUUCUCAGUUUUCAUCCAAAUGCCCACAGAUUUUAAUGCGAAUAUUCAAAAAUCAGCAUAAAAACUCCAAGGGGUUUCCAUCAAAUUGACUUGUUGCGGAUAAAAGGCUGCGCAUGAUGAUGUAGUGCACAUAAUAAUACAUUUUCCAUUGCAUUUUUAACUUUACUGAUGAUUUUCUCACAAAAAAACAUGAGUUAUAUAGCGAGUGUGCCCACUGGUAUUGGCACGUGCUCUCUAGCCAACAGCUCUCAGACACUGUGCGAGUAGGCCAAUAGCCUAUGGAUGAGAUUAUUAUGGACAAGAUUAUUUCUAUUUGUCAAAUGGCAGCCAAGCAUCGAUGAUCAUGUCAUAAGACCCUUUAUGUUUAUUGGAAAGGAGCACAUCACCUUGCACUUUUCACCACCCUGUGAAGUUCAUAAUUUAUACUGAACAAAAAUAUAAACGCAACAUGUAAAGUGUUGGUCCCAUGUUUCAUGAGCUGAAAUAAAAGAUACCCGAAAUGUUCCAUUCACACAAAGUUUAUUUCUCUUAUCUUUUGUGCACAAAUGUGUUUACAUCCGUUAGUGAGCAUUUCUCCUUUGCCAAGAUAAUCCAUCCACCUGACAGGUGUGGCAUAUCAAGAAGCUGAUUAAACAGCAUGAUCAUUACACAGGUGCACCUUCUGCUGGGGACAAUAAAAGGCCACUAUUAUGUGCAGUUUUGUCACAACACAAUGCCAC
Molecule: long non-coding RNA, 3621 nt
Filed under: Salmo salar (Atlantic salmon)
Lineage: Eukaryota; Metazoa; Chordata; Actinopteri; Salmoniformes; Salmonidae
Description: lncRNA (ENSSSAG00000095677.1, ENSSSAG00000097609.1)
Source: RNAcentral